RNAcentral lists this non-coding RNA (126 nucleotides) under Tursiops truncatus (common bottlenose dolphin). The record is from RNAcentral. Lineage: Eukaryota; Metazoa; Chordata; Mammalia; Artiodactyla; Delphinidae.
GUGUUGUAUGAAAGGAGAGAAGGUUACCAUUCCCCUUGACAAGGAUGGAAGAGAACUUUGGGUCUAACAACACGCAUACGGUUAAGGCAUUGCCACUUACUUCGUGGCAUCUAACCACUGUUGUUG